This 437-nucleotide ribosomal RNA is filed under the name uncultured Dehalococcoidia bacterium. RNAcentral's name for it is "bacterial SSU rRNA". It matches the Rfam family "Bacterial small subunit ribosomal RNA", at positions 342 to 795 of the family's 1533-position model. The record is from RNAcentral. Lineage: Bacteria; Bacillati; Chloroflexota; Dehalococcoidia.
CGGGCGGCUGCAGCAAGGAAUCUUGUGCAAUGGGCGAAAGCCUGACACAGCGACGCCGCGUGGGGGAAGAAGGCUUUCGGGUUGUAAACCCCUUUUCUCAGGGAAGAAUAAUGACGGUACCUGAGGAAUAAGCCUCGGCUAACUACGUGCCAGCAGCCGCGGUAAUACGUAGGAGGCGAGCGUUAUCCGGAUUUACUGGGCGUAAAGAGGGCGCAGGCGGUCCUUCAAGUCGGAUGUAAAAUCUCCCGGCUUAACUGGGAGGGACCAUUCGAUACUGAUGGACUAGAGGGCAGCAGAGGGAGGUGGAAUUCCCGGUGUAGUGGUGAAAUGCGUAGAUAUCGGGAGGAACACCAGUGGCGAAGGCGGCCUCCUGGGCUGUUGCUGACGCUGAGGCCCGAAAGCGUGGGGAGCGAACAGGAUUAGAUACCCGAGUAGUC